GCCGGGAUGGCGGAAUUGGUAGACGCACGGGACUCAAAAUCCCACGACUGUGAGGUUCGAUUCCCCCUCCCGGCACCA
RNAcentral lists this transfer RNA (78 nucleotides) under Nitrosospira sp. RNAcentral's name for it is "tRNA-Leu". It matches the Rfam family "tRNA". From Rfam's summary of the family: Transfer RNA (tRNA) molecules are approximately 80 nucleotides in length. Their secondary structure includes four short double-helical elements and three loops (D, anti-codon, and T loops). Lineage: Bacteria; Pseudomonadati; Pseudomonadota; Betaproteobacteria; Nitrosomonadales; Nitrosomonadaceae. The record is from RNAcentral.